UGCGCCAUAUCAACCAUAGUUUGUUGCAUGGUCUUGAGGGUUUCGGCUAUCGAAGUGUUGGUAGCAUCCUCUCCAGACAUUGCGGAUCACUUCGGGUAUGUAAUGCACAGAAAAAAUCUGAUGACUCAAGAAUCCUCCGUCCCCACAGACGGCGCCAAAAUGUGGAUGUCGGAUUCGCACACUCAAGUAUUUAUUUGUUUUGUGGGAGAGAUUAUUCUUGAGGACAAAUAUACUUGAAAAUAGAUAGAUGAUUAUAGAGAAAACUAUGAGUAUUGUCAAAGAAGGUGUAUAGCUCGUUUGCACCAAGAAAUGCGUGUGUGUUUACAUGGUCUUUGACCCACAAUUUAUACCCAAAGAAUACAUUUAAUAC
This 370-nucleotide small RNA is filed under the name Arabidopsis thaliana (thale cress). RNAcentral describes it as "ATSL202820". Lineage: Eukaryota; Viridiplantae; Streptophyta; Magnoliopsida; Brassicales; Brassicaceae. The record is from RNAcentral.